Molecule: ribosomal RNA, 495 nt
Filed under: uncultured bacterium
Lineage: Bacteria
Description: partial 16S ribosomal RNA
Rfam family: Bacterial small subunit ribosomal RNA
Source: RNAcentral
GACGAACGCUGGCGGCGUGCCUAAUACAUGCAAGUAGAACGCUGAAGGAGGAGCUUGCUUCUCUGGAUGAGUUGCGAACGGGUGAGUAACGCGUAGGUAACCUGCCUGUUAGCGGGGGAUAACUAUUGGAAACGAUAGCUAAUACCGCAUAAGAGUAGAUGUUGCAUGACAUUUGCUUAAAAGGUGCAAUUGCAUCACUACCAGAUGGACCUGCGUUGUAUUAGCUAGUUGGUGAGGUAACGGCUCACCAAGGCAACGAUACAUAGCCGACCUGAGAGGGUGAUCGGCCACACUGGGACUGAGACACGGCCCAGACUCCUACGGGAGGCAGCAGUAGGGAAUCUUCGGCAAUGGACGGAAGUCUGACCGAGCAACGCCGCGUGAGUGAAGAAGGUUUUCGGAUCGUAAAGCUCUGUUGUAAGAGAAGAACGAGUGUGAGAGUGGAAAGUUCACACUGUGACGGUAUCUUACCAGAAAGGGACGGCUAACUACGUG